AUUGAACGCUGGCGGCAGGCCUAACACAUGCAAGUCGAGCGGAUGAAGGGAGCUUGCUCCUGGAUUCAGCGGCGGACGGGUGAGUAAUGCCUAGGAAUCUGCCUGGUAGUGGGGAUAACGUCCGGAAACGGGCGCUAAUACCGCAUACGUCCUGAGGGAGAAAGUGGGGGAUCUUCGGACCUCACGCUGUCAGAUGAGCCUAGGUCGGAUUAGCUAGUUGGUGGGGUAAAGGCCUACCAAGGCGACGAUCCGUAACUGGUCUGAGAGGAUGAUCAGUCACACUGGAACUGAGACACGGUCCAGACUCCUACGGGAGGCAGCAGUGGGGAAUAUUGGACAAUGGGCGAAAGCCUGAUCCAGCCAUGCCGCGUGUGUGAAGAAGGUCUUCGGAUUGUAAAGCACUUUAAGUUGGGAGGAAGGGCAGUAAGUUAAUACCUUGCUGUUUUGACGUUACCAACAGAAUAAGCACCGGCUAACUUCGUG
This 483-nucleotide ribosomal RNA is filed under the name uncultured bacterium. RNAcentral's name for it is "partial 16S ribosomal RNA". It matches the Rfam family "Bacterial small subunit ribosomal RNA", at positions 30 to 507 of the family's 1533-position model. The record is from RNAcentral.